Molecule: ribosomal RNA, 497 nt
Filed under: uncultured bacterium
Lineage: Bacteria
Description: partial 16S ribosomal RNA
Rfam family: Bacterial small subunit ribosomal RNA
Source: RNAcentral
GAUGAACGCUGGCGGCGUGCCUAAUACAUGCAAGUCGAGCGAACAGAUAAGGAGCUUGCUCCUUUGACGUUAGCGGCGGACGGGUGAGUAACACGUGGAUAACCUACCUAUAAGACUGGGUUAACUUCGGGAAACCGGAGCUAAUACCGGAUAACAUAUUGAACCGCAUGGUUCAAUAGUGAAAGGCGGCUUUGCUGUCACUUAUAGAUGGAUCCGCGCCGUAUUAGCUAGUUGGUAAGGUAACGGCUUACCAAGGCAACGAUACGUAGCCGACCUGAGAGGGUGAUCGGCCACACUGGAACUGAGACACGGUCCAGACUCCUACGGGAGGCAGCAGUAGGGAAUCUUCCGCAAUGGGCGAAAGCCUGACGGAGCAACGCCGCGUGAGUGAUGAAGGUCUUCGGAUCGUAAAACUCUGUUAUCAGGGAAGAACAAAUGUGUAAGUAACUGUGCACAUCUUGACGGUACCUGAUCAGAAAGCCACGGCUAACUACGUG